This 90-nucleotide small RNA is filed under the name Pedobacter alluvionis. RNAcentral's name for it is "Flavo-1 RNA". It matches the Rfam family "Flavo-1 RNA". The record is from RNAcentral. Lineage: Bacteria; Pseudomonadati; Bacteroidota; Sphingobacteriia; Sphingobacteriales; Sphingobacteriaceae.
ACCUAGACCUGAUUGAAAUGGCAUUCCGGUUUCCGCUAACUUUGUUAUUAUCGAACAUUUACCGGAAUAUAAUGGAAAGCAGGACUACAG